RNAcentral lists this ribosomal RNA (253 nucleotides) under uncultured bacterium. RNAcentral's name for it is "partial 16S ribosomal RNA". It matches the Rfam family "Bacterial small subunit ribosomal RNA", at positions 524 to 776 of the family's 1533-position model. The record is from RNAcentral.
UACAUGGGGUGCAAACGUUGCUCGGAAUUACUGGGCGUAAAGCGUGCGCAGGCGGUUUUGUAAGUCAGAUGUGAAAUCCCCGGGCUCAACCUGGGAACUGCGUUUGAAACUGCAAGGCUAGAGUAUGGGAGAGGGAGGUAGAAUUCCACGUGUAGCAGUGAAAUGCGUAGAGAUGUGGAGGAAUACCAAUGGCGAAGGCAGCCUCCUGGCCUAAUACCGACGCUCAUGCACGAAAGCGUGGGGAGCAAACAGG